UUGGCUUUUGCGAGCGCCCAAGACGAAUUUUUUCGUUCAAAGCACGAAAUUGAAAAUCCCACCCCACGAACGCAAUCUCCUCCGCCUCUUCCCAUUCCCAAAUCCCGCCGCCGCCCUCCGUUUCCCCAAUCUCACCGCCGCCGCCCUCCCUCCCACCUUCUCUUCUCUCCAUGAGAAGGCCCCGAGCGAGCCGAGAAGAUCUGCGCCGUCGUCGAGCUGGCACACAGGGGAGGUCCGGUCCCACAACUAGGCGCCGAGCUUCUCUCUCGGGACGCCGCCAUGGUGUUCUGUCCCUUCCCCACAACCGCGCAGCAGAGGAGUCCUCCGUCUGCUUCUUCUCCGAGGAUCUCCGACCCGAAACCCUAGACCGCGGGCGGCCCCAAGAACAGCAACAUCGACAUCGACACGGGUAUGGGGGCCAUGGAGAAGGGGGAGGACGGCGAUGAUGCAGUUCCAUUCCGUGUAGCUGCUCCCAGCCUGCUAGUGCCGACAUGGAAGGGAGAGGAAGGUCUCACGACAAGGCUGCGCUCGCUCAACUGCAGCGGUGACCAACUUCGAACCCAAGAUGGCGUGUAGGUUCAGCCACCUCUUGUCUCCACUGUCACUGGUGACGGCGUGGUUCGGCCUUGGCUACAAGCAUUAAAGAUGGUCAUGUUUUAUGACUGCAGCAGUGCUCGCUCGACUGCAGCGGUGAAGAGGCGGUGACCAACUUCGAGCGCAAGGUGGCGGUGUGUAGGCUCAGCCACCUCUUGUCUCCACCGUCACCAGCGAGGCGCAGUUCGGCCUCGGCUACAAACAUUAAUGAUGGUCAUGCCUUACGACUGCAGCGGUGCUUGCUCGACUGCAGCGGUGAGGAGGCGGUGACCAACUUCGAGCCCAAGGUGGCGGCGUGUAGGCUCAGCCACCUCUUGUCUCCACCGUCACCAGCGGCGAUGCAGUUUGGCCUCGGCAACAAACAUUAAUGGGAAGAAAACACACAAGGGACAUGAUUUAAGAACGUAUAUACAUUGUACAUGAUCCAAGAACACACAUCGGACGAUCUUGCAGAGAAGAAUGGAGUGAGAAUGAUUGGUUAUGGGUAGGAGGAUGAUUUCGGCCUUGGGUGGAAGAAGAUGAGUUUGACACGGAGAAACACGGCGGCGGCAGUCCGGCGAGGCGGAAGAAGACCAUGUCAGCUGUCCAGCAAGGCGGAGGAAGACCACGGUCUGAUCUGAUUCGUGUGGUUUGUGCCAUCUGGUCCGAUCUGGUCUGGUCAAGGGGACCAAGGAGAACCUGCUGCUGGUUCAAGGGCCAUGGUGCUCAACAUCACCACCAUGAAGCUUCCCCUGUUGCGCCAAGAAGACAGCCUGACCACCUACCCACCGAAGUUGAUGCAGCAGCACCUGGAGUUAAUCCCCAGGAUGAACCCAUCCCCAGUGGCAUCAUUGGCACCGACGAUGACAUCGAUGAGACCGAGCACGAGGAUAUCGUGGAGGAUGUAUCCCUCAUGGAUAUUGACAGCGCCGACUCGGGAAUCCCCUGGCAGCAACUGAGAAAUGAGCUUUGUGUGUCAUGGUGACAUGUCCACUCAAGAAGAUUUAAAUGAAAAGAGAAGUUCUGAUAGAUUGGCUCAUUGAGAAACCGUGAAACCAAUUCCUCAACAUCUUAUCACCUAUAAGGUUUUUGGCAAACCUAAGGCCCUCAUUAUGCACAUUAUGACCUGGUUGGAGGGUGGAAGGCUGUCAAUGAAGUGUACCCUUGCAUAAUAGAGUUCCUCUCUCAACGUGAUGAAGUGUCUUCUUAAACUCUCAUUAUCCGUAUACAUCAGACCUACCACACGCCAUUGCACGAUAGUCAUCUUACACUGGAACGGGAUGAUACUGUGUAAUCAUGCAGUUAUUAUCUGCUUACAUCACAAUUGUUACAUGCCAUUGCACGAUGGUUAUCCUACAUUGGAGAACCGGAUGAUACUGUGUAAUCACCAAAAGGACAAUGAAGUGGUUUGAGUUGAUGGAUGAACACUCUUUCUUAUCAUGAACAUAAUAGACAGAUUCUUGGAAAAACAAGUGGUGCCAAGGAAGAAGUUGCAGUUAAUUGGAGUGACAGCUAUGCUCCUUGCUUGCAAAUAUGAGGAAGUCCCAGUUCCACUUGUUGAAGAUCUAGUGGUCUCUUCAAAGAAUUAUCAAAUUUAUUGUUCGGCUACUCAGGUAUGGUGGACUACCUCUUCCUCGGCCACUACCUCAGCCUCUUCCUCAGUUCUGAUCUGGUCCAUGUCUUCUCCAAGCUGCCACAUGAUCUCAACUUCAUGUCCACACGGAGAAACAUUAAUUGGAUUGAAGGAAGGUUUCAGAUGGCGAAGCCGGUCAUCAUCGACCCGGGACUCUACAUGAAGAAGAACAUUGCCGGAGCGUGCCAACAUCCUUCAAGCUCUUCUCCGAUUAUAUGGUUGAGAAGCCCAGCGUCGACAAGAGCGUCAGCCUUAAGCUCUGCAUCCUCCUUUACAAGCAGUACGGAACCAUCAUGUCACCAUGGCUGACCGUCGGGCCCCAAUUCGACUAGACUACCAUACACAUAUUGAUCAUUUUAGAUAAAUGAGCUAGGAUGGCUGGAGAGUACCCCUCAGGAACUGGAGGGGAUACUGGAGACCGUGAACCCGCAGUCGCCAUCACUUGAAGUUUGAUCUUCGAGAGGGCGGAGUGAUCCCGAACGAGAAGACUGCCAGUGUGAACUUAGGGUGCACGUCAAUGGAUGUGCUGAUGCUGGCCGUGGCCUCAUGUGCUCGUGCGGCUGGAGGCUCUGUGGCCCCUCCCUUGAGCCUCUCCUUCGGUUUCUGUUAUGUGGCAUCGUCUACAACUCUGAUGGGACCUGACUUCAUGGUGAGGAUGGUGCUGGAGGAACUGGUGGGGAUACUGGAGACCGUUGACCCGCAGCAGCCAUCGCUUGAAGCUUGAUCUUCCAGAUGGUGGAGCGAUCCCGAAUGAGAAGACUACCAGCGUGAACUUGGGGUGCACAGUGUCAAUGGAUGUGGUGAUGCUGGCCGUGGCCUCAUGUGCUCGUGUGGUUGGAGGCUCUGUGGGCCCCUUGAGCCUCUCCUCCGGCUUCUGUUAUUUUGGCUCCUCCUGCCGUGUGAUGUUUGGCAUCGUCUACAAGUCUGAUGGGAGAUCAAAGCUGAAUGGGAAAAAACCGGCAAGUCACAGGCUGAGGGAGGGGAAGUCGAUACACGCCACGUGUAGAUGUGAUAUUGGAUGAUGGAUAUGUGUUAUCAUAUCGAUCAAAUUGUCUCCUGUUUGGUGUUGACUGAAGAAGAGGACAGUUUCUAUGAGGUGCAACCAUGGAUAUCACCAUGAUUCUGCUUGAUGCCAAGGACUAGGACGCCGACAUACGGUCUGCAUCAGAAGGUGUUGAUUGAUCUUUCCGGCUCCCCGAUGGGUGAUGAGCUUUCUGGGCUGUCUAGGAAAAUCCCUAUUUAAUUGGUCACCCCCACGAGUGAAGAGCGGAUCCUCUUUGCUGCAAUCUUCAGUACUUAUUGGAAUUAGAAGCAGUGUUUCCCCUUGGUGAUUGCCUCUUUGAAGGGCAUGAUCGAGCUGCUGCGGUUGUUGUUUGUUUUGCUCGUUCCUGGGACGAUGCAUAUGUUUUUGGAGAAAUAGUGUGGUUUUUCCAUUUCUAUUUUAUUAUGGACGUGCGGAUCAAUCUAUUUAUCAGCCAAUGAGUGUAUGUAGGCUGAUGAGAAUUAUUGGCUGACAUGUUGCUAUGCAUUUGAAAGAUGAAAUCAAACCAA
This is a long non-coding RNA of Triticum dicoccoides, 3757 nucleotides long. RefSeq lists it as uncharacterized. The transcript is spliced from 23 exons. Lineage: Eukaryota; Viridiplantae; Streptophyta; Magnoliopsida; Poales; Poaceae. The record is from RefSeq and is a predicted model, not a curated record.